UUGCGCAAUGGGCGAAAGCCUGACGCAGCCACGCCACGUGUGGGACGACGGCCUUCGGGUUGUAAACCACUUUCAGCAGGGAAGAAAAUGACGGUACCUGCAGAAGAAGCCCCGGCCAACUACGUGCCAGCAGCCGCGGUAACACGUAGGGGGCGAGCGUUGUCCGGAAUUAUUGGGCGUAAAGGGCUCGUAGGCGGUUUAGUAAGUCAGAUGUGAAAACUCAGGGGCUCAACCCGGAGACGCCAUCUGAAACUACUAUGACUAGAGUUUGGGUAGAGGAGUGCAGAAUUCCCGGGUGUAGCGGUGAAAUGCGCAGAUAUCGGGGAGGGAAUUCCAGUCAGCGAAGGCGGCCUCUGGCCAUAACUGACGCUGAGGAGCGAAGCGUGGGAGCCAAACCGGGUUUGAUACCUGGUAGUCC
This 418-nucleotide ribosomal RNA is filed under the name uncultured bacterium. RNAcentral's name for it is "bacterial SSU rRNA". It matches the Rfam family "Bacterial small subunit ribosomal RNA", at positions 364 to 796 of the family's 1533-position model. The record is from RNAcentral.